This 71-nucleotide transfer RNA is filed under the name Rhodotorula toruloides. RNAcentral describes it as "tRNA-Glu (TTC) cove score=41.54". It matches the Rfam family "tRNA". From Rfam's summary of the family: Transfer RNA (tRNA) molecules are approximately 80 nucleotides in length. Their secondary structure includes four short double-helical elements and three loops (D, anti-codon, and T loops). The record is from RNAcentral. RNAcentral also lists the same sequence under 1 other name. Lineage: Eukaryota; Fungi; Basidiomycota; Microbotryomycetes; Sporidiobolales; Sporidiobolaceae.
GUACUGGUCAUCUAGUGGUAGGAUAGCAGUUCUUCACGCUGCGCACGCAGGUUCGAUUCCUGUCCAGUAUA